UACGUAGGGCGCAAGCGUUGUCCGGAAUUAUUGGGCGUAAAGAGCUCGUAGGCGGCCUGUUGCGUCCGCUGUGAAAUCCCGGGGCUCAACCCCGGGCGUGCAGUGGAUACGGGCUGGCUGGAGGCAGGCAGGGGAGAACGGAAUUCCUGGUGUAGCGGUGAAAUGCGCAGAUAUCGGGAAGAACACCCGUGGCGAAGGCGGCUCUCUGGGACGGUACUGACGCUGAGACGCGAAAGCGUGGGGAGCGAACAGG
RNAcentral lists this ribosomal RNA (253 nucleotides) under uncultured bacterium. RNAcentral describes it as "partial 16S ribosomal RNA". It matches the Rfam family "Bacterial small subunit ribosomal RNA", at positions 524 to 776 of the family's 1533-position model. The record is from RNAcentral.